This 460-nucleotide ribosomal RNA is filed under the name uncultured bacterium. RNAcentral describes it as "partial 16S ribosomal RNA". It matches the Rfam family "Bacterial small subunit ribosomal RNA", at positions 338 to 795 of the family's 1533-position model. The record is from RNAcentral.
CCUACGGGGGGCUGCAGUGAGGAAUAUUGGUCAAUGGACGAGAGUCUGAACCAGCCAAGUAGCGUGAAGGAUGACUGCCCUAUGGGUUGUAAACUUCUUUUAUAUGGGAAUAAAACGUUCCACGUGUGGGAUUUUGUAUGUACCAUAUGAAUAAGGAUCGGCUAACUCCGUGCCAGCAGCCGCGGUAAUACGGAGGAUCCGAGCGUUAUCCGGAUUUAUUGGGUUUAAAGGGAGCGUAGGUGGGUUGUUAAGUCAGUUGUGAAAGUUUGCGGCUCAACCGGAAAAUUGCAGUUGAAACUGGCAGUCUUGAGUACAGUAGAGGUGGGCGGAAUUCGUGGUGUAGCGGUGAAAUGCUUAGAUAUCACGAAGAACUCCGAUUGCGAAGGCAGUUCACUGGACUGCAACUGACACUGAGGCUCGAAAGUGUGGGUAUCAAACAGGAUUAGAUACCCUUGUAGUC